Molecule: long non-coding RNA, 1147 nt
Filed under: Oryza brachyantha (malo sina)
Lineage: Eukaryota; Viridiplantae; Streptophyta; Magnoliopsida; Poales; Poaceae
Description: long non-coding RNA (OBRA_LNC003062)
Source: RNAcentral
GUCGGAUCAAAACUGUAUGCUCUUAGAUCCUAGCACAUAAUCCUUCAGUUUUUGGUCAAUAGAGAAUAAAAGAUUAGGUUAUCUCAAAAACAUUAGUCUCAUCUUCCUCGAGGCCUCCCAUGCAUAUGUGAGAAACUGCUAAACCAAGAAGACUAACAUCUUUCCUAAUAUCUGCAUGGUUCUCCCCUAUUGAAUAUGGUUCACAUCGUCUAUCAUUAUAAUAAAGUUAUUAUGGACACUGACAUGUAGACACUAGGAGAGUGGGGCCCACAUAAUCAGUGGUUGUAAUGAUACUACCAUAACAACAUAUGAUACACACCCUAUUUGAUAAGGCUCUGCUAUCAGCACAAGAUGGAAUCAUAUAGAGCUAACACACAUGUAGCUUUUUUUAGGAAUUAAAUAUGCAUUCCAUUCAAAUAAUAAUAAUAAUAAACUACUAUAGAAAAUACACAUGCUAUUUAAAUUGUUUAUUUAAAUUCACAUAACCUGAUUUCCUGGGCGGCAUGUCCUCUUUCCCUUCAUACUCCCCCUUCCCGUAGUGCCAAAAAUAUAUUUGGAAAUUUUCUUAUGGGGGUUCAUAGGUCCACAAACAAAUUAGUUUUAUUCAAGAUGUUAAUUAAAAUGGCAUUGUCCAAAUGAUAUAGUUUUUGUAAUAACAAUUGGCUAAUCCUAUGCAGGUUAUCUUCGUGCAUGCUAGAUGGUGCCUCUUCGUUUUUGAUGCUAUUAUAGGAGAAGCAAUAUAUUGCACGCACUGGUGCUACACUUUUGGAAUUGGUAUCUAAGGGUCUUUUGUUCUAUUUUGAAUGGCGUAGUAUCUAUAGAAUUACCUAAUAGAUUCUAUGUGAUUUAUGUUAGCUUUUAAGUUCAAACGUUCAUCUUUUAAAAAUAGUUGAGGGGAUUUAUCCCACAUCACUUGAUAUUUUUUUUCUCUUUUGAGUGGAUAGGUUAGGCAGCUCGACUAACUUUCUCAGAGAGGAAUGAAAUGGAGCAGCAUGGAAGGUGUACACGAUACAAUGGUGUUUGUCUAGUGAACAAUGCAUGAGAUAUAUGACCAACCAACACUUGCAAUCUUCUUGAUAACUUCCAUUCAUAGGAUUAUAGGAAUGUAGCUGUGAUUAUUUCCAUGAAAGAAACCACUAAUGGCAAG